UACAGAGGAUGCAAGCGUUAUCCGGAAUGAUUGGGCGUAAAGCGUCUGUAGGUGGCGUUUUAAGUCCGCCGUCAAAUCCCAGGGCUCAACCCUGGACAGGCGGCGGAAACGGCCAAGCUGGAGUACGGUAGGGGGAGAGGGAAUUUCCGGUGGAGCGGUGAAAUGCGUAGAGAUCGGAAAGAACACCGAUGGCGAAAGCACUCUGCUGGGCC
RNAcentral lists this ribosomal RNA (212 nucleotides) under uncultured bacterium. RNAcentral's name for it is "partial 16S ribosomal RNA". It matches the Rfam family "Bacterial small subunit ribosomal RNA", at positions 524 to 735 of the family's 1533-position model. The record is from RNAcentral.